RNAcentral lists this unclassified non-coding RNA (350 nucleotides) under soil metagenome. RNAcentral describes it as "partial contains 5.8S ribosomal RNA, internal transcribed spacer 2, and large subunit ribosomal RNA". The stretch from base 1 to 120 matches the Rfam family "5.8S ribosomal RNA", at positions 35 to 154 of the family's 154-position model. The record is from RNAcentral.
GAUGAAGAACGCAGCGAAAUGCGAUAAGUAAUGUGAAUUGCAGAAUUCAGUGAAUCAUCGAAUCUUUGAACGCACAUUGCGCCCGCCAGUAUUCUGGCGGGCAUGCCUGUUCGAGCGUCAUUUCAACCCUCAAGCCCAGCUUGGUGUUGGGGAUCGGCACAGGCGCCCUCGGGCGCCCGCCGUCCCCUAAAUCUAGUGGCGGUCCCGCUGCAGCCUCCUCUGCGUAGUAGUUUUCUCCUCGCAAGGGCAGCUCGGUGGCGACCUCGACGUAAAACCCCCAACUUCUGAAAGGUUGACCUCGAAUCAGGUAGGACUACCCGCUGAACUUAAGCAUAUCAAUAAGCGGAGGA